This 63-nucleotide transfer RNA is filed under the name Falcicornis taibaishanensis. RNAcentral's name for it is "tRNA-His". The record is from RNAcentral. Lineage: Eukaryota; Metazoa; Arthropoda; Insecta; Coleoptera; Lucanidae.
AUUUAAGUAGUUUAUAUUAAAAUAUUGAUUUGUGGAGUCAAGGAUGUAGGGAUACCUUAAAUA